UGGGGAAUAUUGGACAAUGGGCGCAAGCCUGAUCCAGCCAUGCCGCGUGAGUGAUGAAGGCCUUAGGGUUGUAAAGCUCUUUCACCGAUGAAGAUAAUGACGGUAGUCGGAGAAGAAGCCCCGGCUAACUUCGUGCCAGCAGCCGCGGUAAUACGAAGGGGGCUAGCGUUGUUCGGAUUUACUGGGCGUAAAGCGCACGUAGGCGGUUUGUUAAGUCAGGGGUGAAAUCCCGGAGCUCAACUCCGGAACUGCCUUUGAUACUGGCAAGCUAGAGUCCGGAAGAGGUAAGUGGAACUCCUAGUGUAGAGGUGGAAUUCGUAGAUAUUAGGAAGAACACCAGUGGCGAAGGCGGCUUACUGGUCCGGAACUGACGCUGAGGUGCGAAAGCGUGGGGAGCAAA
RNAcentral lists this ribosomal RNA (400 nucleotides) under uncultured bacterium. RNAcentral's name for it is "bacterial SSU rRNA". It matches the Rfam family "Bacterial small subunit ribosomal RNA", at positions 355 to 772 of the family's 1533-position model. The record is from RNAcentral.